RNAcentral lists this ribosomal RNA (755 nucleotides) under uncultured bacterium. Its description in RNAcentral is "bacterial SSU rRNA". It matches the Rfam family "Bacterial small subunit ribosomal RNA", at positions 636 to 1391 of the family's 1533-position model. The record is from RNAcentral.
UNUGACUUGAGUGCAGAAGGGGAGAGUGGAAUNCCAUGUGUAGCGGUGAAAUGCGUAGAUAUAUGGAGGAACACCAGUGGCGAAAGCGGCUCUCUGGUCUGUCACUGACGCUGAGGCUCGAAAGCGUGGGUAGCGAACAGGAUUAGAUACCCUGGUAGUNCACGCCGUAAACGAUGAGUGCUAGGUGUUAGGCCCUUUCCGGGGCUUAGUGCCGGAGCUAACGCAAUAAGCACUCCGCCUGGGGAGUACGACCGCAAGGUUGAAACUCAAAGGAAUUGACGGGGGCCCGCACAAGCGGUGGAGCAUGUGGUUUAGUUCGAAGCAACGCGAAGAACCUUACCAGGUCUUGACAUCCCGAUGCUAUUCUUAGAGAUAGGAAGUUACUUCGGUACAUCGGAGACAGGUGGUGCAUGGUUGUCGUCAGCUCGUGUCGUGAGAUGUUGGGUUAAGUCCCGCAACGAGCGCAACCCUUAUUGUUAGUUGCCAUCAUUAAGUUGGGCACUCUAGCGAGACUGCCGGUAAUAAACCGGAGGAAGGUGGGGAUGACGUCAAAUCAUCAUGCCCCUUAUGACCUGGGCUACACACGUGCUACAAUGGUCGGUACAACGAGUUGCGAGCCGGUGACGGCAAGCUAAUCUCUGAAAGCCGAUCUCAGUUCGGAUUGGAGGCUGCAACUCGCCUCCAUGAAGUCGGAAUCGCUAGUAAUCGCGGAUCAGCACGCCGCGGUGAAUACGUUCCCGGGCCUUGUACACACC